RNAcentral lists this ribosomal RNA (497 nucleotides) under uncultured bacterium. Its description in RNAcentral is "partial 16S ribosomal RNA". It matches the Rfam family "Bacterial small subunit ribosomal RNA", at positions 28 to 507 of the family's 1533-position model. The record is from RNAcentral.
GAUGAACGCUGGCGGCGUGCCUAAUACAUGCAAGUCGAGCGAACGGACGAGAAGCUUGCUUCCCUGAUGUUAGCGGCGGACGGGUGAGUAACACGUGGAUAACCUACCUAUAAGACUGGGAUAACUUCGGGAAACCGGAGCUAAUACCGGAUAAUAUUUUGAACCGCAUGGUUCAACAGUGAAAGACGGUCUUGCUGUCACUUAUAGAUGGAUCCGCGCUGCAUUAGCUAGUUGGUAAGGUAACGGCUUACCAAGGCAACGAUGCAUAGCCGACCUGAGAGGCGGAUCGGCCGCACUGGAACUGAGACACGGUCCAGACUACUACGGGAGGCAGCAGUAGGGAAUCUUCCGCAAUGGGCGAAAGCCUGACGGAGCAACGCCGCGUGAGUGAUGAAGGUCUUCGGAUCGUAAAACUCUGUUAUUAGGGAAGAACAUAUGUGUAAGUAACUGUGCACAUCUUGACGGUACCUAAUCAGAAAGCCACGGCUAACUACGUG